This 296-nucleotide ribosomal RNA is filed under the name uncultured bacterium. Its description in RNAcentral is "partial 16S ribosomal RNA". It matches the Rfam family "Bacterial small subunit ribosomal RNA", at positions 775 to 1067 of the family's 1533-position model. The record is from RNAcentral.
GGAUUAGAUACCCUGGUAGUCCACGCUGUAAACGAUGAACACUAGAUAUUGGAGGAUUUGACCCCUUCAGUGUCGCAGCUAACGCGUUAAGUGUUCCGCCUGGGAAGUACGGUCGCAAGACUAAAACUCAAAGGAAUUGACGGGGGCCCGCACAAGCGGUGGAUUAUGUGGUUUAAUUCGAAGCAACGCGCAGAACCUUACCUAGGCUUGAAAUCCCAUGAAUCCCUUUUAAACGAGGGAGUGCUCUUCGGAGAAUAUGGUGACAGGCGCUGCAUGGCUGUCGUCAGCUCGUGCCG